RNAcentral lists this small RNA (936 nucleotides) under Vigna angularis var. angularis. RNAcentral describes it as "Non-protein coding transcript". Lineage: Eukaryota; Viridiplantae; Streptophyta; Magnoliopsida; Fabales; Fabaceae. The record is from RNAcentral.
CAACCUAAGAGCAUCUGGCACCAAAUUGCACGAGAUUUUCUUCACAAAGUUUGGUCAUAUAUAUUUUUCUUCAGGCUGAAAACUUCCCAAAGCGAUUGAAAGAUACUGACAAUAACAAUAACAGUGAUCACGUGCUCUUCAAACGCAGAAACCAUUUUGGAGAAUACAUCCUGAAGACUCUGUAGGCUGAGAUGGUGGAUAUGAGAGCCAUUAAGAUGGACGCUACAUAGCCGCAAAGGAACGCUCCUCCUAUUUGGAUGCAGAAUCUCGUGAAUUUGUCACAUACCUUCAACCAUUGAAACGCUUCUGACCCUUUCACUGCUAUCAUCGAUGCUCCAACCGAUGCCGUGUUUGUCCCAAAUAUAACUGGCGUACCUGAUCCAAGAAUAAAGAAAUCCAAGCCACGCACAUAUCAGACCCUUUCAAGUUUCCUCUGGAGCAAGUUGAGUGUUUGCAUAACUGAAGCAGGUUAUAACCUGCAGCAGCAGACGUAACAUACACCAACAUCCUAUAGAAACAUAAAAUUCCUGGGUCUGAUUUAGAGAAUAUCAAGCCACAGCAAUGGAAGAGAAUACACAUAAAAGAAGAGGAAGAGGAAGGUCUUACCUGAGAGCAUCCAAAUCAUUGUAGGUAGCCUUCUUCUGAAUACCCAAGAACACAACCUUUGUUUGAGUAUCAAAAGCAACCAAGCAUGUAGUUAAUACCAAAAACAGUAUUACCGAUAACCUUAGACAGACUUCCCCUCUCGCCAUUCCCAACUUCAUUUUUUGGAUCAGACGAAUCGAUUCUGUCCUUUGCUCUUAAUUUUAGCUCCACUUUCAGCUUAUUUAUGGAAUUGUAGUUUACUUGUUGAAUCACAAUUCUGGCUGAGAACUAUACACGAGUGUGGGGUGUAUCGACCCCAUCAACGAUUACCUAACUCUUAUUAUUACCCAU